UACAGAGGUCUCAAGCGUUGUUCGGAUUCAUUGGGCGUAAAGGGUGCGUAGGCGGGGAGGUAAGUCGGGUGUGAAAUCCCUCGGCCCAACCGAGGAACUGCGCCCGAGACUGCUUCUCUUGAGUCCCGGAGAGGAAGGUGGAAUUCCCGGUGUAGCGGUGAAAUGUGUAGAGAUCGGGAGGAACACCGGUGGCGAAGGCGGCCUUCUGGACGGUGACUGACGCUGAGGCGCGAAAGCGUGGGGAGCAAACGGG
RNAcentral lists this ribosomal RNA (253 nucleotides) under uncultured bacterium. RNAcentral's name for it is "partial 16S ribosomal RNA". It matches the Rfam family "Bacterial small subunit ribosomal RNA", at positions 524 to 776 of the family's 1533-position model. The record is from RNAcentral.